Molecule: long non-coding RNA, 406 nt
Filed under: Equus caballus (horse)
Lineage: Eukaryota; Metazoa; Chordata; Mammalia; Perissodactyla; Equidae
Description: lncRNA (ENSECAG00000055624.1)
Source: RNAcentral
CCCACUGGGAGUGUUGAAGCUGGAAUGACCCUUCAGAGAUUUCCCAAAUUGAGGUUUUGAUAAGAUUUUGCAAGAUAGUUGCUUACGAACCUAUCUGACACCUGCCUCAGAAAUCAUGCCAAAUGUCAUAAGACUUUGAGAAUCUGUUCAAGAAGAGACCUAGCCUCAAGUGGAUCUCCUAAAUUGUAAACUCAACAAUCGAAUCCAGGUAACUCGGGGAGAUUCCUAAGGAAUGGAAUUAAAUUUGUAAUAUGGUGGUCAUCAGGACAAAAAGGGUCAGAAGGAACAGGAUUGUUGUUCUGUUUUUGCUAAUAACAGAGGCACUGAAUCCUGAUAUAUGACCCUGGUUAAGUCACUUGACUCUUUUGGGGCUCCAUUUUCCUGUCUAACAUGGGGUAUUUCCUAU